RNAcentral lists this ribosomal RNA (245 nucleotides) under uncultured bacterium. Its description in RNAcentral is "partial small subunit ribosomal RNA". It matches the Rfam family "Bacterial small subunit ribosomal RNA", at positions 26 to 285 of the family's 1533-position model. The record is from RNAcentral.
AGAAUCAACGCUGGCGGCGUGCCUAACACAUGCAAGUCGAACGAGAAAGUGGAGCAAUCCAUGAGUAAAGUGGCGACCGGGUGAGUAGCACGUGACUAACCUACCUUCGAGUGGGGGAUAACCUCGGGAAACCGAGGCUAAUACCGCAUAACAUCGUGAGAUCAAAGCAGUAAUGCGCUGGAAGAGGGGGUCGCGGCUGAUUAGUUAGUUGGCGGGGUAAUGGCCCACCAAGACAGUGAUCUGUA